RNAcentral lists this ribosomal RNA (301 nucleotides) under uncultured bacterium. RNAcentral's name for it is "partial 16S ribosomal RNA". It matches the Rfam family "Bacterial small subunit ribosomal RNA", at positions 509 to 807 of the family's 1533-position model. The record is from RNAcentral.
CAGUCGCCACGGUAAUACGAAGGGGGCUAGCGUUGUUCGGAUUUACUGGGCGUAAAGGGCGCGUAGGCGGACUGAUAAGUCAGGGGUGAAAUCCCAAGGCUCAACCUUGGAACUGCCUUUGAUACUGUUUGUCUUGAGUUCGAGAGAGGUAAGUGGAACUGCGAGUGUAGAGGUGAAAUUCGUAGAUAUUCGCAAGAACACCAGUGGCGAAGGCGGCUUACUGGCUCGAAACUGACGCUGAGGCGCGAAAGCGUGGGGAGCAAACAGGAUUAGAUACCCCAGUAGUCCCUGUCUCUUAUAC